RNAcentral lists this ribosomal RNA (497 nucleotides) under uncultured bacterium. RNAcentral's name for it is "partial 16S ribosomal RNA". It matches the Rfam family "Bacterial small subunit ribosomal RNA", at positions 28 to 507 of the family's 1533-position model. The record is from RNAcentral.
GACGAACGCUGGCGGCGUGCCUAAUACAUGCAAGUCGAGCGGACGGACGAGAACUUUGCUUCACACCUGCAACCGGCGACCGGGUGAUUAACCCGUGGCAAACUUACUUUAAAGCCGGGAAAACCCCCGGAAAACCGUACCAAAUACCGGAUAAUCUUUUGAACAGCAUGGGUCAAACGUGAAAAACGCUCUUGCUGUUCCUUAUAGAUGGAUCCGCGCUGCAUUAGCUAGUUGGUAAGGUAACGGCUUACCAAGGCAACGAUGCAUAGCCGACCUGAGAGGGUGAUCGGCCACACUGGAACUGAGACACGGUCCAGACUCCUACGGGAGGCAGCAGUAGGGAAUCUUCCGCAAUGGGCGAAAGUCUGACGGAGCAACGCCGCGUGAGUGAUGAAGGUUUUCGGAUCGUAAAACUCUGUUGUUAGGGAAGAACAUAUGUCUAAGUAACUGUGCACAUCUUGACGGUACCUAAUCAGAAAGCCACGGCUAACUACGUG